This is a long non-coding RNA of Scatophagus argus, 2936 nucleotides long. RefSeq lists it as uncharacterized. The record is from RefSeq and is a predicted model, not a curated record. Lineage: Eukaryota; Metazoa; Chordata; Actinopteri; Scatophagidae. The transcript is spliced from 3 exons.
CUCAGUUUGUCUGUGUUGCUUUGUUCCCUGCAAUUGUUGCAUCCUUGUGAUCCCUGUGUUUGCCAUUUUGGAUUAUUUCAUUGUCUGGACAGUUACUGCUUGGACACCUGCUGCCUUUUGUUUGCUGUCUCCUUAUUUCCAGCCAUCAUCCUUGCACACAAAUGGAAAACGGCAAAGUGUUACACAGGAAAGAAAGGCCAGGCACCAGGCGAGAAGACAUGUGUGGCUUGAUCUAAUGGCAGAGGACUAAUUGCAUUCUGGGACACAUGCCUGGAAUUCAGGAUGUUCAACAAAAAAGCAUGUUGUGCAAGCAGACCACAUACAACAUUGGGACAAUUAAUAACUCCCCUCCCCCUCCCUCCAGGGGAGAAAAUUUGGCCUGUCCAACCUCCCAGAAGACUGCACUGCUGCCUUUAUUGAUAUCUGUGGCCAGAGACAGGCCUGCUAUCCCUAGGCAGUGUGACUCCACUGGGGCUCCACUGUGACUGGACUGUUAUGAGGCCAACUUAGCCAGCCUGCUCCAAUCAUAGGAGCACAAACAAGCCCCUAACCACACUGAAUGCUAAGCCAGAUCAGUCUCGGGGGUGGUUUGUCAGGUUUUGCAGGGAUAACAUAGCAUGAGAUUAUUUUUUCUCCCUCUGCCUCUUUUUCGCUCACUCUUGCUGUCUUUCUCCCUCUGUUUCUAUCUGUGUGUCUGUUAUUUUGAAUUCACAUCUCUCUGAGGAGGAGAAUGCCUUUUCGACACAUGCUGACACGCACACGCACUCACAUCCAUACAUAGUGGCACAGACACAAAUAAGGCCGUGUGCUUACACCCACACACACUCUCACCUCCUAUCUCUCCUCGACACAAGCUCUCGAGGUCUCCAUUUAUAUGGUUCAGAUGUGGUUCAGUGGUGAAAUUAAGAUGAGGUGUCGACAAGCUAAUGUUGAAAUAACAAGACCUACUAAUUUGUGGCCAGCCUUAUGGAGCCAGUGCCAUCAAAUGUUGCUGGAGCCCAGUAUUAAGGUGAUGAAGUGUAACAUUUUAAAUGGUUGCAAUCAUAGGGCAAAGUCUUCAUUACGAUGAUGGCGCUGCCCGCCACCCACCACCCUUACCCCUCAUUCCAAUGUUGCUGCAUCUAUCACGCAGAGAACAUAUGGGUGCCUGCAGGAGUCACUGUACUUACCCACCUGGGGUUUGCUAACAACCAUGUCAUGAACACUGUAAAAAUAACAAAAUUUUUUAUCAGCAGGAGGUCAGUGUUUGUUAGACUGUAACCUGCUAGUUUCACAAAUGUUUUCUGUUUUAAACGUCCAGUAUUCUGGUUGUGGAUUGCAGCCAACUAAACACCCUUCAUUUCCUAAGAUCUCCUAAGAUGGCUGAUAAAUGGCAAAAAAAACCAGAAAGGCCCUCUCUAGAGCCAACAUUUGAUUUGCCCAUUCUGGACUACUGUAGAAACAUGGCUGUGCAGCAUGGUGGAAUCUAUGGAAGAGGACCAUCUCACUCUGUAAAUAUAAAAACUCACUCUUAGGGUGAUGAUACACUAAUGAACAAAUAGCCCCUAAAUCCUACACAGUGAAUCUUCAAUUGAAGAUGUCAACAACUGCUUUGCUCUAAGUUGUUGAGCGAUUGAAAUAGCCAGUGGCAGACAGAGUGGAUGCGUGUUGUGUAUAUUGUGCGGAGCAGAGAAUAUAAACUCAUGCUCUCAUUUGACAGCACAUGGCCUGGUCAGGCUUGUCAGGAUUUAGAGUAUUAACAUGGCUAAAUCAGCCACAGCCACUCAGAAAAAAAGGAUAUUAGAUUAGAUAGACAGAUUAGAGAAGGCAUAAAAAAAUCCCAACAAUGUUUUCCUCUUCUUGGAUCCACACGUUAUGAAUAAAAAGAUCAACAAACACAUUUAUUUAAAACUGAUAUAUGUCACCAACUUCAAAAUAGCACUAAGCAUGGCCAAGCAUGCACAAGUCCAAGAUCUCAGAGAGGUAGUGACCAUGAUGUUUCUGUUCACUGCUACACUUUGAGGGGGUGAAAGAGGUACACAGCCGCACUAAUUUGUCUUGGCUUGAGAAAACAGCUGUAAACACCCCCAAGGGGGGGAUGACGAGAUAAGCACCAUGUUGUGGAGAUGGUAUCAGAUGGCAACAAUGUCCCACCCAGGCAACAUACUACAUUUUCAGGUGUUCUAUUCAACAUGUUGUGCCUAUUAAUCAGAGCUGGCACUGCAUAAGCACAACAACUGAAAAGCUAAUUGUAAGCUGGGUGAACAGAAACUUGGGUUCACAAAUCCUGUUUAUUGUCUACUCACAAGCUUCGGUUUAUGUGGAGUUUUUGUUGUUACUUUUAUUUUUUUGGUUUGUUAAUGGCCUGAGCAUUUGAACAAAGACAUCUGAUUUUGCACACCAUGGUUAUUAGAUCAAAAUAAAAUUUCUGGCAUUAUAUUGUAUCUGUGAUUGCACCUAUUGUGCUUCAUGCAGUGGAAAUGUGGAAGGAAUGUUAAACAUCAUGAUUUACAUGGCCAAAACACCCUGACUCAAAGAAUAUUUUUACCGGCUGAGUUGCCUAAGGCAUUUAUAGCUGCUAUCAAGCGUUCGAUUUACCAAUUCAGGAAUGUUUAGAGGCCCAGAGGUCAACCCAUUUCUGCUUAAAGUGAAAUACUACUGUAAAUGGAAAAUAUUAAGAAUCAUGUGAGGCUCCAAACAAUCUUUUAAACAUGUUGGUCCUUUAACAUGGAACCCCAUGUAGGCAGAGGAGAGAAAAUCAAUUAGUGAAGUAAAUUUUUUUUGGUAUGUCCUGUACAGUUCUGUUUUUCUGAAUAUAUGAUUAGUGAUCAUGAUGAUGUUUUUCUGUGAUACAUUUUGUAGCCUGUAUGAUCUUUUGCACAGAAAUUUUACAUGAUCUAUUUGCAUGUCUACAAUUAUUUUAAAAAUAAAAAUAAGAUAUUAAAAGUGAAAGGAUA